Molecule: long non-coding RNA, 271 nt
Filed under: Linum usitatissimum (flax)
Lineage: Eukaryota; Viridiplantae; Streptophyta; Magnoliopsida; Malpighiales; Linaceae
Description: long non-coding RNA (LUSI_LNC000739)
Source: RNAcentral
UAUUCAAUGCCUCGAAGAAGAGCAGGAUAUAUUUGUGGCUUCAGACUUAACAAUAAAUAAAGCAAAGCUCAAAGCUGCUGUAUGCUCUGCUCCAGUGUCUAUGGAGUACAUACAGAAAGAUAGAACUACUGGUGAGUUGCAGGAUGCAAAUAAGGUGGGCAAAAAAAGUGACGACGAAGUAGGGCAUGAACAACCUAGUCACCCGUUGGAGUCAACAGACGAGAAAUGUGAAGAAGCUAUUGGGGCCAGAUUGCUUGGAAGUGGUAAUACU